AGGAGACAGGUGCUGCAUGGCUGUCGUCAGCUCGUGUCGUGAGAUGUUGGGUUAAGUCCCGCAACGAGCGCAACCCUUAUCUUUAAUUGCCAGCAUUCAGUUGGGCACUUUAAAGAGACUGCCGGUGUUAAACCGGAGGAAGGUGGGAUGACGUCAAGUCCUCAUGGCCUUUAUGCUUAGGGCUACACACGUGCUACAAUGGGUGGUACAAAGAGAAGCCAACUCGCGAGAGCGCGCCAAUCUCAAAAGCCAUCCUCAGUUCGGAUUGGAGUCUGCAACUCGACUCCAUGAAGUUGGAAUCGCUAGUAAUCGCGGAUCAGCAUGCCCGCGGUCCGAAUACGUUCCGGGCCUU
RNAcentral lists this ribosomal RNA (352 nucleotides) under uncultured Smithella sp. Its description in RNAcentral is "bacterial SSU rRNA". It matches the Rfam family "Bacterial small subunit ribosomal RNA", at positions 1029 to 1382 of the family's 1533-position model. Lineage: Bacteria; Pseudomonadati; Thermodesulfobacteriota; Syntrophia; Syntrophales; Smithellaceae. The record is from RNAcentral.